UUAAGCACUAAGCGUACACGGUGGAUGCCCUGGCAGUCAGAGGCGAUGAAGGACGUGCUAAUCUGCGAAAAGCGCCGGCGAGGUGAUAUGAACCCUUGACCCGGCGAUGUCCGAAUGGGGAAACCCAGUGUGUUCCGACACACUAUCGUUAACUGAAUACAUAGGUUAACGAGGCGAACCGGGGGAACUGAAACAUCUAAGUACCCCGAGGAAAAGAAAUCAACCGAGAUUCCCCCAGUAGCGGCGAGCGAACGGGGAGCAGCCCGGAGUCUGAAUCAGCUUGUGUGUUAGUGGAACGGUCUGGAAAGUCCGACGGUACAGGGUGAUAGUCCCGUACACGAAAACACACUUGCUGUGAACUCGAAGAGUAGGGCGGGACACGUGGUAUCCUGUCUGAAUAUGGGGGGACCAUCCUCCAAGGCUAAAUACUCCUGACUGACCGAUAGUGAACCAGUACCGUGAGGGAAAGGCGAAAAGAACCCCGGCGAGGGGAGUGAAAAAGAACCUGAAACCGUGUACGUACAAGCAGUGGGAGCACCUUCGGGUGUGACUGCGUACCUUUUGUAUAAUGGGUCAGCGACUUAUAUUCUGUAGCAAGGUUAACCGUAUAGGGGAGCCGAAGGGAAACCGAGUCUUAACUGGGCGUUAAGUUGCAGGGUAUAGACCCGAAACCCGGUGAUCUAGCCAUGGGCAGGUUGAAGGUUGGGUAACACUAACUGGAGGACCGAACCGACUAAUGUUGAAAAAUUAGCGGAUGACCUGUGGCUGGGGGUGAAAGGCCAAUCAAACCGGGAGAUAGCUGGUUCUCCCCGAAAGCUAUUUAGGUAGCGCCUCGUGAACUCAUCUUCGGGGGUAGAGCACUGUUUCGGCUAGGGGGCCAUCCCGGCUUACCAACCCGAUGCAAACUACGAAUACCGAAGAAUGUUAUCACGGGAGACACACGGCGGGUGCUAACGUCCGUCGUGAAGAGGGAAACAACCCAGACCGCCAGCUAAGGUCCCAAAGUCAUGGUUAAGUGGGAAACGAUGUGGGAAGGCACAGACAGCCAGGAUGUUGGCUUAGAAGCAGCCAUCAUUUAAAGAAAGCGUAAUAGCUCACUGGUCGAGUCGGCCUGCGCGGAAGAUGUAACGGGGCUAAACCAUGCACCGAAGCUGCGGCAGCGACACUAUGUGUUGUUGGGUAGGGGAGCGUUCUGUAAGCCGUUGAAGGUGUGCUGUGAGGCAUGCUGGAGGUAUCAGAAGUGCGAAUGCUGACAUAAGUAACGAUAAAGCGGGUGAAAAGCCCGCUCGCCGGAAGACCAAGGGUUCCUGUCCAACGUUAAUCGGGGCAGGGUGAGUCGACCCCUAAGGCGAGGCCGAAAGGCGUAGUCGAUGGGAAACAGGUUAAUAUUCCUGUACUUGGUGUUACUGCGAAGGGGGGACGGAGAAGGCUAUGUCAGCCGGGCGACGGUUGUCCCGGUUUAAGCAUGUAGGCGGAGGUUCCAGGUAAAUCCGGUACCUUAUUAACGCUGAGGUGUGAUGACGAGGCACUACGGUGCUGAAGUGAUAAAUGCCCUGCUUCCAGGAAAAGCCUCUAAGCAUCAGGUAACACGAAAUCGUACCCCAAACCGACACAGGUGGUCAGGUAGAGAAUACCAAGGCGCUUGAGAGAACUCGGGUGAAGGAACUAGGCAAAAUGGUGCCGUAACUUCGGGAGAAGGCACGCUGAUAGGUAGGUGAAGCCCCUGCGGGCGGAGCUGAAAUCAGUCGAAGAUACCAGCUGGCUGCAACUGUUUAUUAAAAACACAGCACUGUGCAAACACGAAAGUGGACGUAUACGGUGUGACGCCUGCCCGGUGCCGGAAGGUUAAUUGAUGGGGUCAGCGGCAACGCGAAGCUCUUGAUCGAAGCCCCGGUAAACGGCGGCCGUAACUAUAACGGUCCUAAGGUAGCGAAAUUCCUUGUCGGGUAAGUUCCGACCUGCACGAAUGGCGUAAUGAUGGCCAGGCUGUCUCCACCCGAGACUCAGUGAAAUUGAACUCGCUGUGAAGAUGCAGUGUACCCGCGGCAAGACGGAAAGACCCCGUGAACCUUUACUAUAGCUUGACACUGAACACUGGUCCUUGAUGUGUAGGAUAGGUGGGAGGCUUUGAAGCGUGGACGCCAGUCUGCGUGGAGCCAUCCUUGAAAUACCACCCUUUAAUGGCUGGUGUUCUAACGUAGACCCGUAAUCCGGGUUGCGGACAGUGUCUGGUGGGUAGUUUGACUGGGGCGGUCUCCUCCCAAAGAGUAACGGAGGAGCACGAAGGUUGGCUAAUCCUGGUCGGACAUCAGGAGGUUAGUGCAAUGGCAUAAGCCAGCUUGACUGCGAGCGUGACGGCGCGAGCAGGUGCGAAAGCAGGUCAUAGUGAUCCGGUGGUUCUGAAUGGAAGGGCCAUCGCUCAACGGAUAAAAGGUACUCCGGGGAUAACAGGCUGAUACCGCCCAAGAGUUCAUAUCGACGGCGGUGUUUGGCACCUCGAUGUCGGCUCAUCACAUCCUGGGGCUGAAGUAGGUCCCAAGGGUAUGGCUGUUCGCCAUUUAAAGUGGUACGCGAGCUGGGUUUAGAACGUCGUGAGACAGUUCGGUCCCUAUCUGCCGUGGGCGCUGGAGAAUUGAGGGGGGCUGCUCCUAGUACGAGAGGACCGGAGUGGACGCAUCACUGGUGUUCGGGUUGUCAUGCCAAUGGCACUGCCCGGUAGCUAAAUGCGGAAGAGAUAAGUGCUGAAAGCAUCUAAGCACGAAACUUGCCCCGAGAUGAGUUCUCCCUGAGACUUUAAGUCUCCUGAAGGAACGUUGAAGACGACGACGUUGAUAGGUCGGGUGUGUAAGCGCAGCGAUGCGUUGAGCUAACCGAUACUAAUGAACCGUGAGGCUUAACCUU
RNAcentral lists this ribosomal RNA (2901 nucleotides) under Enterobacter cloacae. Its description in RNAcentral is "bacterial LSU rRNA". It matches the Rfam family "Bacterial large subunit ribosomal RNA". The record is from RNAcentral. Lineage: Bacteria; Pseudomonadati; Pseudomonadota; Gammaproteobacteria; Enterobacterales; Enterobacteriaceae.